This 429-nucleotide ribosomal RNA is filed under the name Bacteroidota bacterium. RNAcentral describes it as "Bacteroidetes bacterium partial 16S ribosomal RNA". It matches the Rfam family "Bacterial small subunit ribosomal RNA", at positions 355 to 776 of the family's 1533-position model. The record is from RNAcentral. Lineage: Bacteria; Pseudomonadati; Bacteroidota.
UAGGGAAUCUUCGGCAAUGGGGGGAACCCUGACCGAGCAACGCCGCGUGAGUGAAGAAGGUUUUCGGAUCGUAAAGCUCUGUUGUUAAGGAAGAACGAGUGUGAGAAUGGAAAGUUCAUGCUGUGACGGUACUUAACCAGAAAGGGACGGCUAACUACGUGCCAGCAGCCGCGGUAAUACGUAGGUCCCGAGCGUUGUCCGGAUUUAUUGGGCGUAAAGCGAGCGCAGGCGGUUAGAAAAGUCUGAAGUGAAAGGCAGUGGCACAACCAUAGUAGGCUUUGGAAACUGUUUAACUUAAUUGCAGAAAGGGAGAGUGGAAUUCCAUGGGUGGCGGUGAAAUGCGUAGAUAUAUGGAGGAACACCGGUGGCGAAAGCGGCUCUGAGGUCGGUAACUGACGCGGAGGCUGGAAAGCGGGGGAAGCGAAAAGG